Long non-coding RNA from Lycium ferocissimum, 920 nucleotides. RefSeq lists it as uncharacterized. Lineage: Eukaryota; Viridiplantae; Streptophyta; Magnoliopsida; Solanales; Solanaceae. The record is from RefSeq and is a predicted model, not a curated record. The transcript is spliced from 3 exons.
UUUCUCAUCCAAAAAAAAAAAAAAAAAUACCGUUACAUUAAUAUCCUUCCGAAAAGCCGCUUCACUAAGACCAACUAAUUGUGGCCCCUUCAAAGGCUUUUCCCCUUCCAAAGUAAAACUCCUAACCCUUAAAUUGUGUCUUUCACAGGCCACCUCUUUUAUGCACUUUGUGGAAAGCCUGUUAGAUGUAACGAAUGUGCUUGAUGCUGCAAAGUUUUUGUCCAUGGAAUCAUUGGAAAUCUGUAAUUCACCAAAAAAAUUGACAUGUUAUGUUUCUUGGCUUCUACCCCUCAAGUGAAAAGGCAUCAGAGAUACCCUUAAGUUUUAUUUUGAUGUCGUUCAGAUGACGCAUAUCUGAUAAAAGAGUUUUUGUGAUUUUUGUUCAGGUUUUGCGCAAAUAGGGUGUUCACAUCCUAACGGCCUACCGCCUACUGCAAAGAUUGUUCAUACUGGUCAGCAAUGUAUUGUUGCACAAAGUGAACAAAACACACGUUUUGCUGCUAGAGUUUUGCACAGGGCACAAAAUUGCAAGAGCUUUGCUUCAACCACAAGGGAUUUCUGGACAAAUGGCUAGGAGGAAUGCUCCAACUUAAAUAAGGUAGACGCCUUUGCAAUGCUCCAAACUUUUAAUUUGGCUAUUUUUUUUAAUCCUGAAGAAUGUUUCUUCUGUGAUUGUGCGGGUUUGACUGAAGUUAUGGAGUGAUAAGAAAUAGGAGUUAAGGUAUGUGUUAUGUUGAUAAGAGUACCCUAUCUCUCUUUCAUUCAUGAUUACAUAAUUGAACAGACAGAGAAGCUAACGACCUCCAGAUGCAUUCAUUUACUAACGAUAGUUUCAAAAGUUUUCCUUACGUAAUUGUGAUGUGUAAAUUAAUUUUCAAUUCCUAUAUUUGUGGACAAGUUGACUUAUAGAUGGUGAGCCA